Molecule: ribosomal RNA, 114 nt
Filed under: Candidatus Peribacteraceae bacterium
Lineage: Bacteria; Candidatus Peregrinibacteriota; Candidatus Peribacteria; Candidatus Peribacterales
Source: RNAcentral
CUUGGUGCCUAUAGCCUUGGGGCCACACCCGUUCCCAUUCCGAACACGGCAGUUAAGCUCAAGCGCGCCAAUGGUAGUACGGUUACGCCGUGCGAGAGUAGGUCGGUGCCAAGA